Molecule: non-coding RNA, 4070 nt
Organism: Megalopta genalis
Lineage: Eukaryota; Metazoa; Arthropoda; Insecta; Hymenoptera; Halictidae
Source: RefSeq, a predicted model, not a curated record
AAAAGCUUGUUUUUGGUACCAAAAUGGCCGACGAAUUCAAUCAUUUUUAACAAGAUAAUAUCGGAGCUAGAGCUAUAUCUUCAAUAUUAAAAUGGCCGGCAGUUACGCAAUCGACGAGAUCAGUAAUUUCCAGCGAGGUGACACGGUCUGGUCACUUAUAAGAUUAUAAAUGGUGCCUGCCGACUUGAAAUUCACGGUUUGCUGAAAAGGGGAACCCACGGAUUAGAUCGUCCGCGGUUCCUCCGGUACGUCUCGCCCCCUACCACGCGCGAAAUUUCGCAAAAUCGUCGGAACGAGGACAUCGAGGAAAAUUCUAGACCGCUGUGAUUGCUGCCACCGGGACCUGCACAUUCCGCGACCUCAUCUGUUGCAUUCAUUCUCGCGUCGAGACUGGCUGGGUCACGCAUUGCUCACGUCCGACUAGCAACCGACGCCAUUUCCAUACUAUUCGGGACGAAACUAUCCAGGAGAACUCUUGCAAUACCCCUGCGGAACGAACCAUAUUCGACAAAAUUCGUAUUCCAAAUAUUGGAGACCUUUGGGACCAUUUCAACUUGAACGAGCAAAGGCGAUGUUAGAAAAUUGUACACGUUCGCAAUAAAAUAGAGAAAUUUGACAGUUUCACGAAGCCGCUAAUCCUGUUCCAAAGGGUAUCAGAAAGUCGUGGGUACCGAAAAUGGCGUUCGAUCGCGAGCCUUCAACGCAUCGGGUGGAAGGGACCCGCAGGAACAAAGAAAACGAAAUCGCCGAUAGGAUCAAUGGACGAGAAGGAGGAGGAGGAGGAGAGCGAGAGAGAGAGAGAGAGAGAGAAAAGGGAAGAGGCCAAGGAUGAUUCGUUCGGCGAGCAUGAAUUGUGGGGAAAGCGGAAUGAGUUAGCGUCGGGAAAGGAAGAAGGAGGAAACGAAAGCGAGCUCUCUCUCACGUUCUUACGCAGCUGAGAAGAUGCUCUCGUAAGAAAUCUUACCUGAGAAACCCUGGAAAACUAACAGCCGGGAGGGAACGAGAGGGAGAGACGUGAGAGAGUGAGAGAAAGAGAGAGAGAGAGAGAAAGAGAGAGAAUGAAAGGCAGAGAAGCGAAGAGAACGUCUGCCAGGAGGCAACUUUCACGCGGAGCGAUUUUUCGGCUUCCUGCAACGACCGCCGUAGGAUUAAGGAUGCGGUGUCCAUCAUUUUGCUAAGAAUGUUUCCCAUCCGAUUGAAAAUCGUCAACGAGCCUUUGACAAUUAGCGAACAAGUGGCCAAAUGGCUCCGCGUCGUCCGAUAUGUGAUCGCUGUUCACUAAAUUCUCAAGGAUCAACAUUUAGGACUAAAUUAUACGAUGUCCACAGUUACCAUUUUCUUAGGACGUCUCUCGGCGAAUCUCGAUCCUGUUAAUUUUAAAACAGCACAACGAACUCCGACACCGGAUGGAACCUCUUCAGGGGAAAUCAGCGUUCGUUUUUCCGAUUCGUAAACAUGGCUAAACGGUACGCGGAACGCCAGCUGGUUUGCUAGCAAGAGUAAUUGGUGACUCUUGUUUUCAUGAAAGUAAAUCCUGAAGGCUGAAGAAGCUCUCGACCUCGGGGACGUUCUUGAAGAGAGGUGGCUUGGCGACAGAAGGCGAAGAAGGCGAGAAAGCGAGAGAGAAAGAGAGAUCAUUUGACAGUCGUCCUCAUCUUGAAUAGUGGCUGUUUAAGAAUAGUGAAAGUUCCUCGGGCUUGCGUCACGACGCCUUUCCCGAAGACGACGCGGAAAUCGACGCCUUCCUCUUACACGGACGAUCGAUCUUUUCCGCGGUUAUCACUCACGUCUCCGCGUCCCACCGGCCGCCAUUUUGGUUCACGUCGAUGCUGCGCUGUCCUCCGACCAUGUCGUUGAAGACGAGUACAAGACUGGAUCAUUAUUUAAUGAGAGGAGAAUCGGAGGAUUCGCUACGGAAACGCGUGAAAUUAAAGCGAUUUCCACAGCACCGGCGUCUCCCAUCCGCGAGUACAGCGAACGCGGCUGCGUUAUAGCGGUAAUAAAGAAACAUUGAAUGCGGCUGAUUGGUAUCUACGCGCGGCGCGUGUAACGCAACGGUGACAGGUUCACGCGGACGAUGGACCAAGCUAUAUGGGGAUUCCCACAGGAUCCCAUCGCGCCGGGACACACCGCCGUUUCCUUAGCCGCAGGAUUGCACAAUACGACGUUUUACCCCGGUCUAUCUCACCGCGAGCGGAAUUUAACGAUACUAUAAACUGAACUCCGCGCCUCGAUUUUCCUUUCUAUUCGCGAAACACGUGUAACGGUGGCGGACUCAUUAAAAUAUUGCAACAAGAUGCGGUCGUAUCUGAUGGACAUGCUAAUUGCUCGCUAGGCUUCACGUCUCUCGUUUUGCAACAAUGCGCGCGUCCCCCCGGAGAAAUUGCAUUUUCACCGUCCACGGAGUUAAUGUUUCGGAAAUAAUCAGUCUAGAAUUUCUUAUCGACGAGACGCAUUGGUACUUUACGCGAAGUGAAGGAACAUUGUUGCAUAAGGCAAUUCUGAACAUCGUAGAAACAAUAUCGUGGUGAAUGUAAAAUUUAGUUGAUCGAACGGUCGAACUAAUGUUCCGGAAAAGAUGUAUUUAGGAUUCGAAAUUGGCGAACGAUUGCAAUUUAACGAACGAUUACAAUAUCGCGGCGAGUGUAAAAAGUUAAUUGAACGACCGAGCUAAUGCUCCGAAAAAGAUAUGUUUAAGAUUCUAAAUUGGCGAACGGAUUACAAUUUUCUGCUAGGUGAUGGAAUAUUAUUGCAUGGAGAAAUUAUGAGAACUGUAGAAACAAUAACGCGGUGAAUGUAAAAUUUAGUUAAUUGAACGAUCGAGCUAAUGCUCCGGAAAAGAUAUGUUUAAGAUUCUAAAUUGGCGAACGGAUUACAAUUUUCUGCUAGGUGAUGGAAUAUUAUUGCAUGGAGAAAUUAUGAAAACUGUAGAAACAAUAACGUGGUGAAUGUAAAAUUUAGUUAAUUGAACGACCGAGCUAAUGCUCCGAAAAAGAUAUGUUUAAGAUUCUAAAUUGGCGAACGGAUUACAAUUUUCUGCUAAGUGAUGGAAUAUUAUUGCAUGGAGAAAUUCUGAAAACUGUAGAAACAAUAACGCGGUGAAUGUAAAAUUUAGUUAAUUGGACGACCGAGCUAAUGCUCUGAAAAAGAUAUGUUUAUGAUUUUAAAUUGACGAACGGAUUACAAUUUUCUGCCAAUUGACGGAACAUCGAUGCACAAGGAAAUUCUGAACACUGUAGAAACGAUAUAAUAGGGAACGCAACUGUUGCAUAAAGCUAAUGUUUUGGAAGAUCUCUGUUUAGAGUUUUGUACAAGCGAAAUUAUUGCAAUUUUCUACAAAAUAAGAGAACAUUGUAGUACAAGAAAAUUAUCGUUGACCAAUUAAAAAGGAAGAGAUAUCGAGGAGAAGAAAAAUCGUAGUUUUGCAUUAAACCGGAGAAAAUAAUUAUUUAAGAAGCGUCGUUUCUAUCAGGAAGUAUCAUCGAACGGAGUCGCACAUCGCAAGUCAAACUUUCUCCCGGCGAAACACGCGAGAAGAUGCGCAAAGAGUAGAAAUCGGAAGCUGAUUGAUGUAUACUUAACGAUAUAACGUCUACCUGUUCAUUGUCGGACGAAACACGAGAGAAAAUAAUUGGUCUUGACGACGAGAAAAUAACUGCUUCUUGGAGACUGUCGUUAGCGAUAGAAUCGUUAUUAAUGCGAAGACCAGUUCUGAGACCGACUUGAAUGGAUAGCUAUCGACUAUUAAUUUGUCAGAGUCCCCCCCAAAGUGAUUAUGAAAGAGCGAGUCUUGAUAAAUGAUUGAAACUUUGAAUAUUUCAUUUCUAACAGAAUGUCUGCGAAAUUGUUGUGUCUGGUAAUUAUAUCUGAUAAGUUUAUGUAAAUAUUGUUGUGGUGAGUAGAAAUGUGAGUUUAAAGAAGUUAGUGGUACUAUCAAUGAUCUCAUGGUGAAAUUGUUUGCAAUAAGUUUUAUAAAAUAUUGUCAAAUUCAUUGACAAAUUCAUUUACAACGCAUAGGCUAAAUUAUUUUUAUUUUUAUAUUGUCAAUAGAUGCAUUUCUUGAAACAGAA